This 478-nucleotide ribosomal RNA is filed under the name uncultured bacterium. Its description in RNAcentral is "partial 16S ribosomal RNA". It matches the Rfam family "Bacterial small subunit ribosomal RNA", at positions 28 to 523 of the family's 1533-position model. The record is from RNAcentral.
GACGAACGCUGGCGGCGUGCUUAACACAUGCAAGUCGAACGGUAAGGCCCUUCGGGGUACACGAGUGGCGAACGGGUGAGUAACACGUGGGUGAUCUGCCCUGCACUUCGGGAUAAGCCUGGGAAACUGGGUCUAAUACCGGAUAGGACCACUGCCUGCAUGGGUGGUGGUGGAAAGCUUUUGCGGUGUGGGUUGGGCCCGCGGCCUAUCAGCUUGUUGGUGGGGUGAUGGCCUACCAAGGCGACGACGGGUAGCCGGCCUGAGAGGGUGACCGGCAGCGGUGGGACUGGGAGACGGCCGAGACCCCUACGGGAGGCAGCGGUGGGGAAUAUUGCGCAAUGGGCGCAAGCCUGAUGCAGGGACGCCGCGUGAGGGAUGACGGCCUUCGGGUUGUAAACCUCUUUCAGCACCGACGAAGCGCAAGUGACGGUAGGUGCAGAAGAAGGACCGGCCAACUACGUGCCAGCAGCCGCCGUAA